Molecule: unclassified non-coding RNA, 381 nt
Filed under: soil metagenome
Description: partial contains 5.8S ribosomal RNA, internal transcribed spacer 2, and large subunit ribosomal RNA
Rfam family: 5.8S ribosomal RNA (bases 1-120)
Source: RNAcentral
GAUGAAGAACGUAGUGAAAUGCGAUAAGUAAUGUGAAUUGCAGAAUCUCGUGAAUCAUCGAAUCUUUGAACGCACAUUGCGCCCUAUGGUAUUCCGUAGGGCAUGCCCGUCUGAGCGUCAACUCCCACCCUCUCAAGUCUUCUUUUUUGUUAAGGAGAUUUGGAUUACUUUGAGGAAGUAUCGUUUUUUUUUUUAUAAUGCUACUCCUCAGAAAUUCAUAGGCAGUAUGGUCAAACCUGAACCAGGCGUAAUAAUUCUAUAAAAAUCGUCUAUGAAGGAAUGUCUGUAUUAGCCUUUAACCCCCCCUAAUUUAUUUUACUUGGGUGACCUCAGAUCAGGUAGGGAUACCCGCUGAACUUAAGCAUAUGAAUAAGCGGAGGA